This is a long non-coding RNA of Anguilla rostrata (American eel), 271 nucleotides long. RefSeq lists it as uncharacterized. The record is from RefSeq and is a predicted model, not a curated record. The transcript has 2 exons. Lineage: Eukaryota; Metazoa; Chordata; Actinopteri; Anguilliformes; Anguillidae.
GGCAGGCGCUUGGGUAGGGGGCAGGCGCUUGGGGACGGGGGGCAGGCGCUUGGGUAGGGGGGGCAGGCGCUUGGCCAGUCAAUCGCUCGCUCUGCGGCUGCAAACCCCACGCAGACAGACCAUCACUGGACGCGGCGGGUCCUCAGUCUGCUGCAGAACACAAUCCUGCCGAAAUCUACGGGAACGCGCCGGGCUUCGUCCAGCCCAGUCGCGGUGCUCGUCACACCGGCCUUCAGCGUCUCCAGCAGUCUCAAAUUAAAAAAAAACUCAA